Molecule: ribosomal RNA, 573 nt
Filed under: Salmonella enterica subsp. enterica serovar Berta
Lineage: Bacteria; Pseudomonadati; Pseudomonadota; Gammaproteobacteria; Enterobacterales; Enterobacteriaceae
Description: partial 23S ribosomal RNA
Rfam family: Bacterial large subunit ribosomal RNA
Source: RNAcentral
AGAGGCGAUGAAGGGCGUGCUAAUCUGCGAUAAGCGCCGGUAAGGUGAUAUGAACCGUUAUAACCGGCGAUACCCGAAUGGGGAAACCCAGUGUGAUUCGUCACACUAUCAUUAACUGAAUCCAUAGGUUAAUGAGGCGAACCGGGGGAACUGAAACAUCUAAGUACCCCGAGGAAAAGAAAUCAACCGAGAUUCCCCCAGUAGCGGCGAGCGAACGGGGAGGAGCCCAGAGCCUGAAUCAGCAUGUGUGUUAGUGGAAGCGUCUGGAAAGGCGCGCGAUACAGGGUGACAGCCCCGUACACAAAAGCGCAUGUGCUGUGAGCUCGAUGAGUAGGGCGGGACACGUGGUAUCCUGUCUGAAUAUGGGGGGACCAUCCUCCAAGGCUAAAUACUCCUGACUGACCGAUAGUGAACCAGUACCGUGAGGGAAAGGCGAAAAGAACCCCGGCGAGGGGAGUGAAAAAGAACCUGAAACCGUGUACGUACAAGCAGUGGGAGCACAGGUUUACCUGUGUGACUGCGUACCUUUUGUAUAAUGGGUCAGCGACUUAUAUUCUGUAGCAAGGUUAACCG